UUUGAGUUAUGGCGAAGAGGUUGAAAAGUAGCACCAGCACUAUCCAAAACUCUACAACUUAUUUGUGUUCAACUGGGAACAGAGGUAAAACUGGAACAGAGAUAGCACUACAGCUGCACCACAUCUGCAAAACAGCCCCACACCUUGUGCCACCAAAAUAUCGUUGCUCUGCACAUAAGUGCAUCUUAUCUCCAACUCCGAAGGCAGCUGGGAAAUGUCCAACGACCCUGGCUCUAUUUCUGCUUCCAACGCAGAGCAUCCAUCAGAGCCUUCCCCAGACUCCAGGACUGGUCUGAGUUCCUCCCCAACCUCUGCCACCAGCUCCACUGGUGGCUGACGAGUCACAACAAUUCUAGAAACUUGCAAGGUUGAUGUCAGCCCUGCCGGGAAAACCAGAAAACAAACACGACUUAGAUGAACUAAAUCUAUUUUACUAAUCUGUUCCUGGUGUUUAUGGUAUAGGAUGGUAGAAAGAGAGAGCAAAUUGGCAGAAUGAGAAGAUAUAAAUGCAGCCCAUUGCAAUCAACAUUUUUUUCUUGCCUCCUGCCUUCUCUUAUUUCAUCUGUACUGAAUUUUACUAUCUUCUAUGUGAUGAUUUUAUCUACGAUUUGCAAAACUUAAC
This is a long non-coding RNA of Ahaetulla prasina, 622 nucleotides long. RefSeq lists it as uncharacterized. Lineage: Eukaryota; Metazoa; Chordata; Lepidosauria; Squamata; Colubridae. The record is from RefSeq and is a predicted model, not a curated record. The transcript is spliced from 4 exons.